GUUGGCCUAUGAUGAAUGAAAGUUUUGCCUACAUUGUCUAAUUGUUUACCAUGAAGAGAAAACUAGUGAUUUCUGAGGCUUUU
Small nucleolar RNA from Cynara cardunculus var. scolymus (artichoke), 83 nucleotides. RefSeq annotates it as small nucleolar RNA SNORD34. The record is from RefSeq and is a predicted model, not a curated record. NCBI's taxonomy places the organism in Eukaryota, Viridiplantae, Streptophyta, Magnoliopsida, Asterales, Asteraceae. The transcript has a single exon.